RNAcentral lists this ribosomal RNA (254 nucleotides) under uncultured bacterium. RNAcentral describes it as "partial 16S ribosomal RNA". It matches the Rfam family "Bacterial small subunit ribosomal RNA", at positions 524 to 776 of the family's 1533-position model. The record is from RNAcentral.
UACGUAGGGGGCAAGCGUUGUCCGGAAUCAUUGGGCGUAAAGCGCGCGCAGGCGGACUGGUCAGUCCGGGGUGAAAUCUCACGGCUCAACCGUGAGUGGUCCCUGGAUACUGCCAGCCUUGAGGUGUCUAGAGGAGAGCGGAAUUCCCGGUGUAGUGGUGGAAUGCGUAGAUAUCGGGAGGAACACCAGUGGCGAAGGCGACUACCUGGCCUGUUUCUUGACGCUGAGGCGCGAAAGCUAGGGGAGCAAACGGG